GGACGGUUAGCUCAGUUGGUUAGAGCGCUUGCUCGACACGCAAGAGGUCAGCGGUUCGAAUCCACUACCGUCCA
This 74-nucleotide transfer RNA is filed under the name bacterium. Its description in RNAcentral is "tRNA-Val". It matches the Rfam family "tRNA". From Rfam's summary of the family: Transfer RNA (tRNA) molecules are approximately 80 nucleotides in length. Their secondary structure includes four short double-helical elements and three loops (D, anti-codon, and T loops). The record is from RNAcentral.